This is a long non-coding RNA of Zingiber officinale, 653 nucleotides long. RefSeq lists it as uncharacterized. The record is from RefSeq and is a predicted model, not a curated record. The transcript is spliced from 3 exons. NCBI's taxonomy places the organism in Eukaryota, Viridiplantae, Streptophyta, Magnoliopsida, Zingiberales, Zingiberaceae.
CCCGCGCAUCUCUCUUCCUUUUCCCCGCCGAAGCUCUCUCGAGCCCUAACCAUCUGCGGUUACUCCUCUCCCUCGCGUGCAUAAGGCUGGGACCAAGAGAAGCCGACAUUUCUCUUCUCCCUCUCCGCAGCUGAGCUACCUCCCUUGUGCCCUAGCGAGCCCCGAUACCGAUUUCUCUCCUUCCUCUCGCGUCUCCCGAUCGCCACAGCCGACGCCGGCAGACGAGAGCUGCCAUCCGAGCCCUAGCGUCGACCUCUCCUCCUCUUCUUCGACCACCGGUCACCAGGUCCGACCUACUCCCGGAGCGUUGGCGCCACUCGACCCUCGCUUCUCUGCUCUGAUUGAUGUCAUACAGGAGCAAGGAGCCGAGCCCUCUUCACAUCUGCUAAUCGUCGACGCCGGCCAAGUUUCUGUUCCCUAUCUUUUCCUCUCUUCCGGAAGAGCAUCGUUGUUGACUCCCUGUUCCUUUGAGCCGUGCCCUAACACUGCCUUGCUGCCCUCUUCUGUGCCCUGGUACGGUACUGCCGAGCCAACAAGUGAAGAAUUCCAGCAGCCAACAGCCCUUAACGGCAGUAAUUUCGGCCACAAAUUUUGAUCCAGCAGUAACAAGGUGACACAGGACUUUGACACGAGACGAGUAUCUUGACAUCAUA